GUGAAACUCAAACUGAUUGAUAACGGAGACAUCACGACAUGUUUUAUACACAUCAGAGAAGCAUUUCCCCACAGGGACACAGCUCAAGAAGCAGAGUGAAGGGAGGUGUAUUUAUUCUCCACUGGGCUGAGGAGGAGGUGCAGAGCGGAGAGGCAGGUGGAGCAGAGAGCGAGGCCUGCCAGGAGGUGCCUGUGUGGAGGGUACGACCUCUCCUCUUUAUUACUGUGGAGCCG
Long non-coding RNA from Cottoperca gobio, 233 nucleotides. RefSeq lists it as uncharacterized. The record is from RefSeq and is a predicted model, not a curated record. The transcript has 3 exons. NCBI's taxonomy places the organism in Eukaryota, Metazoa, Chordata, Actinopteri, Perciformes, Bovichtidae.